RNAcentral lists this small nucleolar RNA (107 nucleotides) under Gossypium hirsutum (cotton). RNAcentral's name for it is "Plant small nucleolar RNA R71". It matches the Rfam family "Plant small nucleolar RNA R71". Rfam says of the family: R71 is a member of the C/D box family of snoRNAs containing the C (UGAUGA) and D (CUGA) box motifs. Multiple nearly identical copies of this snoRNA have been identified in Arabidopsis, and it is thought to function as a 2'-O-ribose methylation guide for 18S ribosomal RNA. Lineage: Eukaryota; Viridiplantae; Streptophyta; Magnoliopsida; Malvales; Malvaceae. The record is from Rfam by way of RNAcentral.
AUCCCAUGAUGAGAACCCUUAUGAAGUAACUCCUUGAAUCGCUCCCAAGCCUCAUACAAAGACUCGUCAUCCAAUUGUUUGAAAGUUGUGAUCCUGUUCCUUAACUU